RNAcentral lists this ribosomal RNA (397 nucleotides) under uncultured bacterium. RNAcentral describes it as "partial 16S ribosomal RNA". It matches the Rfam family "Bacterial small subunit ribosomal RNA", at positions 523 to 918 of the family's 1533-position model. The record is from RNAcentral.
AUACGUAGGUGGCAAGCGUUGUCCGGAUUUAUUGGGCGUAAAGCGAGCGCAGGCGGUUCUUUAAGUCUGAUGUGAAAGCCCCCGGCUCAACCGGGGAGGGUCAUUGGAAACUGGAGGACUUGAGUGCAGAAGAGGAGAGUGGAAUUCCAUGUGUAGCGGUGAAAUGCGUAGAUAUAUGGAGGAACACCAGUGGCGAAGGCGGCUCUCUGGUCUGUAACUGACGCUGAGGCUCGAAAGCGUGGGGAGCAAACAGGAUUAGAUACCCUGGUAGUCCACGCCGUAAACGAUGAGUGCUAAGUGUUGGAGGGUUUCCGCCCUUCAGUGCUGCAGCUAACGCAUUAAGCACUCCGCCUGGGGAGUACGGCCGCAAGGCUGAAUCUCAAAGGAAUUGACGGGG